AUUUAAAAUCUCUCUUUUUCAAUCGUUGAUGAUUUGAAAAUAUUGGGCUUUCAUAUUUACUGCAUUCGAUGCUUUGGACUUACGAGAAUUGGUCAACUGGGCCUAUAAUACAAUUUAUUGAAAUGCAUUAUAAUUGCCUUCUUCUUCCCAACGUUGAUGAAAGAAACAGCCGUCGAGGGUUUCUGCCAUUGAUGAGUUUGAGCUCAUGUUUAUCCAACUGAGUAUGGAGCUUUGACUUGGUUAUGAGGGUCGUUUCCGAGCAAUCUCUGGUGGCAGCCGCCUAUUGUGUUGACUCGCAUUCCGAUAUUAUAUUCUCACCUGCUAUGGAAACCAGAACGUUAUGUAACUCGGAUGCAUUUAACGUUUCAAUUAAUUCCAUCUCCCCCACUCCUUACAUGAUUUCUCAUUCAUUGCGUCUCUCUUUCUCCCAGUCGUUGAGUCUGUAGCUAUAAAUAGGUGAUUUUGUAUACCUAAAAUUCAUCAUUUCAUUCCUCACUAAGAUGGAUUUUUUUCUCUGUUCAUGUGACUGAUAACGCUCCGCCUUGGGAAGAACAUAAAUUCACCGCAUCUAUGCGUUUCAAGAUAUCCAUCGAUGCCUCUAUGACUUAUCAUGGUCAGCUUCCGUAUCAACUAGACGUGAGUCGCAUAAGGAUUGUCUGUGAGCAGAAGUACUCAAUCCUGAGGACACAGAAGUUUCUUCUAUGAACUUCCCAUAUUUCUUAAGAUCAGCUGUGGAUUAUUUUAGAUGAUUUUUCUCUCUUGGUUUCUGAAGAUAUGUUCGUAUUCUUUGUGUGUUUUAUCUCUCACUAGGUCCCCGAUCUUGAUGUCUAUUGCUACCUUGAGCCUUUCUACAGUGACCACAGAAAAGUUACGCUAAAGCUAUCUGAUGGGAGGUUUUUGUUGACGAAAUCAUUGAGGAACUUUAACAAGGACUGCAAUACCACGCUUUAAGUAAAGGAUGUUUUAGUAACAUCAACUUAUGUCCAUAUAAAUUGUGGAAGCAAGUUUGCAAAGAAUGCAUCAUAUCUGUCUACAAUGGGGGUGAUUGGUUGGGUUGUAAUUGUAGAAAAUUUACUUUAAUAUUUUGUCUGUAGGAUUUUUGAUUUAGCUUUAAAUGAUGUAGCUUUAAAAUUUCCUACAGCUAAAAAAAUGGGGCUUUAGAAAAUAAGAUGUUUACAGCCAUUUUUUGUGUGUUUUUGCUGUAGUUUUAAUUUUUUGGUUGUAGCUUUAAAAACCAAGAUAAAGCAUGAUUGGUAGUAUUUAAGGUUGUAGAUGAAAAUUAAAGCUAAAGUCACUUUCUACAGCCCAACCAAUCACCCCCAAUGUGUCCCCGUAUCUUGCUCUCUGGACCAGCUGAUUAUUUUACGGCUUUGAAAUUUAUCAGAAAAUAUUAGCAAAAGCACUUGCGAAAUAUAUAUUGGGGACAAAUUGAUUAUUCUUGACAGCCUCAUAUUACUUGGGGGAUCAACAGCCAAGGAAGCAAAUUUUACCAAAGGAAGUUCGUGGCGUGGAAGAUUGCAUGUGCAUGUUAAACGAGCGGUACAUCUGGAUGAUAUAACAGGUGGAUCAAGAUUGACUUCUCAGACUGUUAAGAAGUACCAACUACAACCUCUAAAAGUUACACCUUUAAAACAAGUAUGGUCAUUUAGUUUUCAUUUCUUUGUCGCUUUCUAUUUUACAUUAUAAAGAUACUUAUUUUACCAA
This is a long non-coding RNA of Brassica napus (rape), 1704 nucleotides long. RefSeq lists it as uncharacterized. The transcript is spliced from 6 exons. The record is from RefSeq and is a predicted model, not a curated record. NCBI's taxonomy places the organism in Eukaryota, Viridiplantae, Streptophyta, Magnoliopsida, Brassicales, Brassicaceae.